AUGGCCAUAUCAUGUUGAAUCAUCAGUUCUGAUACAAUCACUGAAGUUAAGCAAUGUUGAGUCUGGUCAGUACUUAGAUGGGUGACCACUUGGGGAUACUAGGUGCUGUAAG
Non-coding RNA from Acanthosepion pharaonis, 112 nucleotides. Lineage: Eukaryota; Metazoa; Mollusca; Cephalopoda; Sepiida; Sepiidae. The record is from the annotation of a GenBank genome assembly.